AUACGUAGGUGACAAGCGUUAUCCGGAUUUACUGGGCGUAAAGGGCGUGUAGGCGGUCUUGCAAGUCAGAUGUGAAAUACAUGGGCUCAACCCAUGGGCUGCAUUUGAAACUGCAUUUCUUGAGUGAAGUAGAGGUAAGCGGAAUUCCUGGUGUAGCGGUGAAAUGCGUAGAUAUCAGGAGGAACACCAGUGGCGAAGACGACUUACUGGACUGCAACUGACGCUGAGGCGCGAAAGUGUGGGGAGCAAACAGGAUUAGAUACCCUGGUAGUCCACACUGUAAACGAUGAAUGCUAGGUGUAAGAGGUAUCGACCCCUUUUGUGCCGGAGUCAACACAAUAAGCAUUCCGCCUGGGGAGUACGGCCGCAAGGUUGAAACUCAAAUGAAUUGACGGGG
This 397-nucleotide ribosomal RNA is filed under the name uncultured bacterium. Its description in RNAcentral is "partial 16S ribosomal RNA". It matches the Rfam family "Bacterial small subunit ribosomal RNA", at positions 523 to 918 of the family's 1533-position model. The record is from RNAcentral.